RNAcentral lists this ribosomal RNA (979 nucleotides) under Arthrobacter sp. RNAcentral's name for it is "bacterial SSU rRNA". It matches the Rfam family "Bacterial small subunit ribosomal RNA", at positions 54 to 1036 of the family's 1533-position model. Lineage: Bacteria; Bacillati; Actinomycetota; Actinomycetes; Micrococcales; Micrococcaceae. The record is from RNAcentral.
CAUGCAGUCGACGAUGAACCUCACUUGUGGGGGGAUUAGUGGCGAACGGGUGAGUAACACGUGAGUAACCUGCCCUUGACUCUGGGAUAAGCCUGGGAAACCGGGUCUAAUACUGGAUACGACCUUCUGGCGCAUGCCAUGUUGGUGGAAAGCUUUUGUGGUUUUGGAUGGACUCGCGGCCUAUCAGCUUGUUGGUGGGGUAAUGGCCUACCAAGGCGACGACGGGUAGCCGGCCUGAGAGGGUGACCGGCCACACUGGGACUGAGACACGGCCCAGACUCCUACGGGAGGCAGCAGUGGGGAAUAUUGCACAAUGGGCGCAAGCCUGAUGCAGCGACGCCGCGUGAGGGAUGAAGGCCUUCGGGUUGUAAACCUCUUUCAGUAGGGAAGAAGCCGGCUUUUUGGGUUGGUGACGGUACCUGCAGAAGAAGCGCCGGCUAACUACGUGCCAGCAGCCGCGGUAAUACGUAGGGCGCAAGCGUUAUCCGGAAUUAUUGGGCGUAAAGAGCUCGUAGGCGGUUUGUCGCGUCUGCCGUGAAAGUCCGGGGCUUAACCCCGGAUCUGCGGUGGGUACGGGCAGACUAGAGUGCAGUAGGGGAGACUGGAAUUCCUGGUGUAGCGGUGAAAUGCGCAGAUAUCAGGAGGAACACCGAUGGCGAAGGCAGGUCUCUGGGCUGUAACUGACGCUGAGGAGCGAAAGCAUGGGGAGCGAACAGGAUUAGAUACCCUGGUAGUCCAUGCCGUAAACGUUGGGCACUAGGUGUGGGGGACAUUCCACGUUUUCCGCGCCGUAGCUAACGCAUUAAGUGCCCCGCCUGGGGAGUACGGCCGCAAGGCUAAAACUCAAAGGAAUUGACGGGGGCCCGCACAAGCGGCGGAGCAUGCGGAUUAAUUCGAUGCAACGCGAAGAAUCUUACCAAGGCUUGACAUGAACCGGAAUGAUGCAGAGAUGUGUCAGCCACUUGUGGGCCGGUUUACA